CAGGCCUAACACAUGCAAGUCGAACGAAGCCUUCGGGCUUAGUGGCGCACGGGUGCGUAACGCGUGGGAAUCUGCCCUUGGGUUCGGAAUAACAGUUAGAAAUGACUGCUAAUACCGGAUGAUGACGUAAGUCCAAAGAUUUAUCGCCCAGGGAUGAGCCCGCGUAGGAUUAGCUAGUUGGUGAGGUAAAAGCUCACCAAGGCGACGAUCCUUAGCUGGUCUGAGAGGAUGAUCAGCCACACUGGGACUGAGACACGGCCCAGACUCCUACGGGAGGCAGCAGUGGGGAAUAUUGGACAAUGGGCGAAAGCCUGAUCCAGCAAUGCCGCGUGAGUGAUGAAGGCCUUAGGGUUGUAAAGCUCUUUAAGUUGGGAGGAAGGGUUGUACGUUAAUACCGUGCAAUUUUGACGUUACCGACAGAAUAAGCACCGGCUAACUCUGUGCCAGCAGCCGCGGUAAU
This 460-nucleotide ribosomal RNA is filed under the name uncultured bacterium. RNAcentral describes it as "bacterial SSU rRNA". It matches the Rfam family "Bacterial small subunit ribosomal RNA", at positions 43 to 524 of the family's 1533-position model. The record is from RNAcentral.